AAUGGCCUAACGGCUGAACCAGCAACUUGGAGGAAUGAAAAUGAAAAUAAUUAUAUAUAUGAUGUUUUUUAACUCUCAUUAUAUAUAUUGUGUAAACAGUUAAUAAUUUAAAUAUAAUUCUAGAUAAAAUAUUGAUAAUGACAACUUUUAUCUAAAAGUCUUGACCAAAUCUUGUGCCAGCAGUCGCGGCAACACAAGGAAGACAAGUGUUAUUCAUCUUAAAUCGGUUUAAAGGGUACCUAGACGGUAAAUUAGGCCUAGAAGGCACGUUUUUACUAGAGUUAUACAUGCAAGAGGAUUAUGUCAGUAUUACCAGAGUAGAGAUAAAAUUUUUUGAUACUGUUAAGACUGGUAAAGGCAAAAGCAAACCUUUAUAUAUUAACUGACGUUGAGGGACGAAGGCUUGGGGAGCAAACAGGAUUAGAUACCCUAAUAGUCCAGGCAGAGAAUUAUGAGUGUCAUAGAUUACAACAUGUGUGUGGAUUCUAUAAAUGAAAGUGUAAGCACUCCACCUUAAGAGUAAUGUGGCAACGCAGGAACUGAAAUCAUUAGACCGUUUCUGAUACCAGUAGUGAAGUAUGUUAUUCAAUUUGAUGACCCACAGAGAAUCUUACCACAAUCUGAAUAUGUUUAAAUUAUAAUUAAAAAUUAGAUUUAAUCAUACUAGCGUUGCAUUGCUGUCUUCAGUUAAUGUUGUGAAAUUUGGUUAGAUUCAUUAAAUUAACGUAAUCCCAUAUUUUAUUUAAAUAUUUAUAAAGUAGUUCACCGCUAUAUUGGAUAUCGAUAACAGGGAGUAAGACAAGUCAUAAUGACCUAAGUAUUGUGGGCUAUAGACGUGCCACAUGUGCCUAAACAAUAGGAUGCAAAAUUGUAAAUUUUAGCUAAUCCUUAAAAUAGGAUAGAAUAU
Molecule: ribosomal RNA, 907 nt
Filed under: Arthopyrenia analepta
Lineage: Eukaryota; Fungi; Ascomycota; Dothideomycetes; Pleosporales; Arthopyreniaceae
Description: SSU rRNA
Rfam family: Bacterial small subunit ribosomal RNA
Source: RNAcentral